AUAUUCAAGGAGGAAGUAUUUGAUUUACUUGAUGAUCAUGGGUCUGUUGCAAAAGUGGCAGCGCCUGCUAGAGUGCCUAUUCAGAUUCGACAAAACUGCAAAUGGAAGCAUUACACUUGCUGGCGUGAUGGAGGCUGAGGUCAAGUCAAAAGAAGAUAUGGGCCAUAUGGCCAUGCACUUGGCACGAGUAUCUUCGUCACGCGCAACUGAAAGUACAAACAUACAUAGCCAGGCAAGGGUGAUUGAGGAGUAAAUGCAAAGGUACAAAGAGUAACUGAUAAGUGUGUUUGAACAAUGACAGUUGUUCACAUUAGGCAUUUGCGUAGAUUUUUUUUGUUGGAAUCAAGUUCAAGACAUGUCUUUUGCUGAUUGUGCCAGCAGAGUUGCAAGAGUGGUGGACAUGCAACACAGGGAGGUGAAAGAAGGGAGGAUCAGGAAGGAUGGAGGGAGGUGACAAAGCUGGGAGAAAGGAGGGAGACACCAAGGAAGGUGGCAUGGGAAGAAAGUGAAGUUAUGGCCCAAGGCUAGAGUGUGAUCGUGUAAAAUUGUUACCUUUCCAUCAAUGCUCAGGUUCAUUGUCAUUUUUAAAGUCUGGCACUUGAAGAUCUACACAAUUGUUGUCGAGGAAGAUGAUAAACUCAAUGAGGAUGAUAAUUGGGGUUAUUGUGAAGCUCGAUGUUUGGUGGAGUACUCUCGCGGUAAAGAGGACAAGGCAUGCAAACAUGAGUAACUGAUAGGUUUGUGUAAUCACUUCCAUUUUUUCUAGGAACAUUGAAUAUAAUUGAUUUUGUAAAGAAAGCGGUAGAGAAGACUGUACUUUUGGACCUUCAGGUGAAGCGGGAAUUAUAUCAUUGUGAUAUCAAAUAAUUGUUCAUUGAUUGUUUGAAU
This 888-nucleotide ribosomal RNA is filed under the name Triticum aestivum (bread wheat). RNAcentral's name for it is "partial small subunit ribosomal RNA". Lineage: Eukaryota; Viridiplantae; Streptophyta; Magnoliopsida; Poales; Poaceae. The record is from RNAcentral.